RNAcentral lists this small nuclear RNA (163 nucleotides) under Chinchilla lanigera (long-tailed chinchilla). Its description in RNAcentral is "U1 spliceosomal RNA (ENSCLAG00000018635.1)". It matches the Rfam family "U1 spliceosomal RNA". Rfam says of the family: U1 is a small nuclear RNA (snRNA) component of the spliceosome (involved in pre-mRNA splicing). Its 5' end forms complementary base pairs with the 5' splice junction, thus defining the 5' donor site of an intron. Lineage: Eukaryota; Metazoa; Chordata; Mammalia; Rodentia; Chinchillidae. The record is from Rfam by way of RNAcentral.
AAACCCUCUCAAGGGGAAAUACCACGAUCACGAAGGUGGCUUUCCCAGGGCGAGGCUUAUCCAUUGCAUGUGGGAUGUGCUGAGCCCUGAGAUUUCCCCAAAUGCGGGGAAACUCGACUGCAUAAUUUGCAGUAGUGGGGGACUGCAUUCAUGCUCUCCCUUA